RNAcentral lists this ribosomal RNA (1121 nucleotides) under Nosema bombycis. RNAcentral's name for it is "bacterial SSU rRNA". It matches the Rfam family "Microsporidia small subunit ribosomal RNA". The record is from RNAcentral. Lineage: Eukaryota; Fungi; Microsporidia; Nosematidae.
CACCAGGUUGAUUCUGCCUGACGUAGACGCUAUACUCUAAGAUUAACCCAUGCAUGUGUAUUGAAUAUAAAGAAAAGACGACCAGCUCAGUAACUCUUAUUUGAUUUGAUGUAUUAGGAUUCUAACUAUGUUAAAUUAUAGGUAACAAUAAUACAAUAAGAAUAAGAUCUAUCAGUUAGUUGUUAAGGUAAUGGCUUAACAAGACUAUGACGGAUAACGGUAUUACUUUGUAAUAUUCCGGAGAAGGAGCCUGAGAGAUUGCUACUAAGUCUAAGGAUUGCAGCAGGGGCGAAACUUGACCUAUGAUAUUAUAUUGAGGCAGUUAUGAGUAGUAUUUUAUAAUUAUUGUAGUAUUGUAAGUACAUAUUCCAAGAUAAAUCGGAGGGCAAAUCGAGUGCCAGCAGCCGCGGUAAUACUUGUUCCUAUAGUGUGUAUGAUGAUUGAUGCAGUUAAAAAGUCUGUAGUUUAUUUAUAAUAAGCAUUGUAAGGUAUACUGUAUGGUUAGGAGAGAGAUGAAAUGUGAUAACCCUAACUGGAUGAACAGAAGCGAAAGCUGUAUACUUAAAUGUAUUAUUAGAACAAGGACGUAAGCUAGAGGAUCGAAGAUGAUUAGAUACCAUUGUAGUUCUAGCAGUAAACUAUGUUGAAUCAUAGAUAUAUUUUGAUAUAUAUUUAUGUAGAGAAAUUAAGAUUAUAUUGACUCUGGGGAUAGUAUGAUCGCAAGAUUGAAAAUUAAAGAAAUUGACGGAAGAAUACCACAAGGAGUGGAUUGUGCGGCUUAAUUUGACUCAACGCGGGGUAAUUUACCAGGUAUAACAUGGUAUAAUAUUUUAUCAUGAUAGUGGUGCAUGGCCGUUUCCAAUGGAUGCUGUGAAGUAAUGAUUAAUUUCAACAAGAUGUGAGACCCUCAUUUAGACAGAUGUAGUGAUACAUAUGAAGGAGAGGAUUAAAACAGGUCCGUUAUGCCCUAAGAUAAUCUGGGUUGCACGCGCAAUACAAUAAUAUUUGAUAUUAUAAGGGAUAAUAUAAUGUAAGAUAUAUUUGAACAUGGAAUUGCUAGUAAAUUUUAUUUAAUAAGUAGAAUUGAAUGAGUCCCUGUUCUUUGUACACACCGCCCGUCG